AGAGGGUCCUCCGCGGAAGGGCAGCUGAAUGGACUCCAAAGCAGCCUUAACCCUGCAGCCUUUGUGCCCAUCACCAGCUCUACAGAAUGUUGCCAGAAGAUACUACCAGGGGUGCCCAGAUCAGUUGGAAAGGCCUUAGGGACAAAUCUUUAAGAGAUCCUGCUCACACUAAAAUAUGAACCACAGACACACAGAGAAGCAACCUGUUCACCACUCCUGGGUGCGUGAUUGAGGGUGAAGCAUCCACCAGCACUUCAAGGGGUCCAUAGUAUUUUUUUUUGCUGCCUCAGAGUCCCCAGAGCCUUCGAGUAGAAGUGGCAGUAGCUGGUUGCCAGUCAGCCAAUGCAGACUUUCACUGGGACAACAGGAAAGCAGAUCUUCUGGGUUUUGAUGGAACUUGGCAGUGGGGACGUUCAGCUGAUGCAUUAUAUACCCCGUCAGAGCACACUUGUGUCUUUUACCUUCCCUUUGCCCCAUGCCCCCAAACUGCUUAGGUCUUCUCUGUCCCUUUACUGCUGCUGCACAGAGAUGAUAUAAAAGAGGCUCUUUGGCUA
Molecule: small RNA, 554 nt
Filed under: Pongo abelii (Sumatran orangutan)
Lineage: Eukaryota; Metazoa; Chordata; Mammalia; Primates; Hominidae
Description: processed transcript
Source: RNAcentral